RNAcentral lists this long non-coding RNA (579 nucleotides) under Medicago truncatula (barrel medic). RNAcentral's name for it is "long non-coding RNA (MTRU_LNC001654)". The record is from RNAcentral. Lineage: Eukaryota; Viridiplantae; Streptophyta; Magnoliopsida; Fabales; Fabaceae.
GAUCCUAUCUCAUAUAUAUAUAUAUGGGAUGUAUCAAAUGAGAGAACUUCUUAUAAUGAGAGGGUGAGAGCAUUACUUAUUGACCAUUGGAUUGAAAUAAACGGUUCAGAUUUUAUUGCUCCUUAGAAAGGGUCAUGCACUACAUCCUCCACCUUUCAUCUUCUCCACUUUGACGCGUUCUCUUUCUCUCACAAGUAAUUUCUACUCUCUGUGUUUCUUUUUUUUUUUUUCUCUCUUUCUCAUGGUUUUAAUUUCAUCAGUUGGUCUCAACAAAAACUUCACUAUCACCAUCAUCGUAAUCAAAGACCCAUUUUUUUGGUUUUUUAGGUUAAGGGAAAAUUAAACAGACAUCCAUCUGCAAAUCUAUACUCGAGUCACAAGAAGUUGUUGGGUUUUCAGCAACCGAAUUCGUUUGAUUGGCAAAACAAUUUCGUUUUCUUUUUCAUAUUCAUUUCUUUUUCAGCAAUCGAAGGGUUUGAGAUAAAAAUUCAUGGCUAUGCCCUUUGUGUUAGCUUUAGGCUGAUUUGGAUUAAAAAAGGUUUUUUAAUAAAUAGACAUAUAGAUUGAGAUUAAUUAAUC